CCCUUAGAUGUUCUGGGCCGCACGCGCGCUACACUGACUGGUGCAACAAGUGUCGCUCCUUGGCCGAUAGGCCUGGGCAAUCUUUGAACGCCAGUCGUGAUGGGGAUAGAUUCUUGCAAUUUUUGAUCUUCAACGAGGAAUUCCUAGUAAACGCGAGUCAUCAACUCGCAUUGAUUGCGUCCCUGCCCUUUGUACACACCGCCCGUCGCACCUACCGAUUGAAUGGUCCGGUGAACCCUCCGGAUCGGCCCGCGCCAACGCAAGUUGAGCAAAGGCCGAGAAGUUGGGUAAACCUUACCAUUUAGAGGAAGGUGAAGUCGUAACA
This 325-nucleotide ribosomal RNA is filed under the name uncultured eukaryote. RNAcentral describes it as "partial 18S ribosomal RNA". It matches the Rfam family "Eukaryotic small subunit ribosomal RNA", at positions 1470 to 1796 of the family's 1831-position model. The record is from RNAcentral.